GCUCCGUAGGUGAACCUGCGGAGGGAUCAUUACAGAGUUCAUGCCCUACCGGGUAGAUCUCCCACCCUAUGUUAUUAUUACUUUGUUGCUUUGGCGGGCCGUUAGGCUCCGGCCCGACUACCGGCCCCGGCUGGUAAGCGCCCGCCAGAGGACCCAAAACCCUGAAUAUUAGUGUCGUCUGAGUACUAUAUAAUAGUUAAAACUUUCAACAACGGAUCUCUUGGUUCUGGCAUCGAUGAAGAACGCAAC
RNAcentral lists this unclassified non-coding RNA (249 nucleotides) under plant metagenome. RNAcentral describes it as "partial contains small subunit ribosomal RNA, internal transcribed spacer 1, and 5.8S ribosomal RNA". The stretch from base 201 to 249 matches the Rfam family "5.8S ribosomal RNA", at positions 1 to 49 of the family's 154-position model. The record is from RNAcentral.